RNAcentral lists this unclassified non-coding RNA (330 nucleotides) under Klebsiella quasipneumoniae. Lineage: Bacteria; Pseudomonadati; Pseudomonadota; Gammaproteobacteria; Enterobacterales; Enterobacteriaceae. The record is from RNAcentral.
AUGGUGGCUCAGGCGGGGCAGCCUUCGGGCUGGCCGGUACCCAUUGAGGCCGGUUUCUCACCCCCGUCUGGGCUACCACCCGAGCGUGAGAACUCCGGUGGUAGCGUUAACCGCUACUCAAUGGAGGUUGCCCUUAUGGCUACGAUCCUCACCCCGUUACACCCGCAGUUUGUCUUUGUGUUUGCCGCCGUUCGUCGUGCAGACCGUAAACCCCGUAUCUGUAUGCUCCGCACCGUUGCCGGUGAUGAACACACCGCACGCCUUUCUCUUGUUCGCGAUUACGUCCUCUCGUUUGCUGGCCGUCUGCCGGUUGCGGAGGUGCGCGCAUGA